CAUUCUUAACAGCUAGCCUAAAAUAUCUAAAACAACAAACAACAUUAAUAACCCC
Molecule: ribosomal RNA, 55 nt
Filed under: Tasmanogobius lasti (lagoon goby)
Lineage: Eukaryota; Metazoa; Chordata; Actinopteri; Gobiiformes; Gobiidae
Description: partial 16S ribosomal RNA
Source: RNAcentral